UUCAAUUGAGGUCUGGUUGAAUCCAAUUGAAACCAAUGGUCAGCCCAUUAUUUGGGGAAUUUUAGGAUCAUCGUCAGUCGUUUAGGGUUCAAGAAUCAAAACCCCUAAAUGUUAGAAAUCAUUUGUUUAGGGUUAUAAUCGUGCCUUCAAAGACAUUCUCAAUUGGGUUGUCUGAUGCUCUUAGUUGUGUACAUCUUCAUUUUUAAAUUUAAUUGUUAUGCUUUGAGUUGUUUCAGGCCGAUGCACUUCGUGAGAGAUUCAAUGCGAACAAGAACGUGGUUAGUUUCUCUUUUAUUUUGAUACGUAUAGUUAUGAUUGUGUUCACUAUGUUUAGUGUGAAAUUAGGAGUUGACUUGUUCAUAAGUAUAGGGAACACAGGGUAACAUGAAUGCAACUUAAAAUAUAGGCCCUUCAACAAAAGUCGAAUGUGUUGGCAAGUUGACUUUUUUCAUUUUUUCUUUCAGCUGAGAGGAUCUCCGGAUAUUAAUGUUUGUUGUUGUGCUUCAGUAACAAUUUUAUCAGCUCCCAACUCCGGAAAUCUUGAAAAUAUUGUUGAAGUUUUUGAAAGCUCAAAGGAGCCCCCUGUUGAUGAAAGUGAUAGUAACGAUACUGAUGAAAGUGAUUCUCUGAUGAUAUUGAAGAUUCUGAUCAUAGGUUAUAUACAUCAUUGUGUUGUAGGUUUUGCUUGUUUGUGAAUUUACCUUGGGCCUGGGUUAAUCUGUAGUUAAUAAUCUGGUGGUAGCCUAUCCAUAUCUUGUUGAUUCUCUCAAAGGUUUUCUUUGAAGAAUUGCAUUGCAGUCAUGGGCUUUCUUGUUUAUGGAGGAAGGAUGAGCCAACCCCACUUGAUAUAAAAAAGGACCCUAAAAGCAUGUGAGAUGAUAAAUAUGGUAGAAAAGAUUCAUGGGAAGAUGAAGAUGAACCCUCUCCGCCACAAGUGGUAGCACCUCCUGUUGUGAAGGCCGCAAAGAAGUCAACAGUCAAACCGGCUCCAAGAAAAAGGGAUAGCUGUUGUUGAACUAGCAAAAGAGGUGCAUUAAAUCCUUUACUAGAAAAGCUCUAACAAUGAAGGUAUGCACCAUUAAUGGUAUCACCAUUUAUUCGUCUGAAAAUAUACAGUGCAAUCGUAUAAAUUUUGUUACUCUUGUGCAUGGCAUCUUGUGGAGUUGCCUUUUUAUAGCUUUUCCUUCAUUUGUAUGAUGAAUAUAGCAAUUUCAAUUUGGAUCUGUUGGCUUCUUUUCACCUAUGAACCAUUUUCAUGUU
This is a long non-coding RNA of Helianthus annuus (common sunflower), 1260 nucleotides long. RefSeq lists it as uncharacterized. Lineage: Eukaryota; Viridiplantae; Streptophyta; Magnoliopsida; Asterales; Asteraceae. The transcript is spliced from 5 exons. The record is from RefSeq and is a predicted model, not a curated record.